This 253-nucleotide ribosomal RNA is filed under the name uncultured bacterium. RNAcentral's name for it is "partial 16S ribosomal RNA". It matches the Rfam family "Bacterial small subunit ribosomal RNA", at positions 524 to 776 of the family's 1533-position model. The record is from RNAcentral.
UACGAACCGAGCGAACGUUGUUCGGAAUAACUGGGCUUAAAGGGCGCGUAGGCGGGCCGCCAAGUUCGAGGUGAAAUCCUCCGGCUCAACCGGAGAACUGCCUCGAAUACUGGAGGCCUCGAGGCGGGUAGGGGCACGCGGAACUGUGGGUGGAGCGGUGAAAUGCGUUGAUAUCCACAGGAACUCCGGUGGCGAAGGCGGCGUGCUGGACCCGAUCUGACGCUGAGGCGCGAAAGCCAGGGGAGCAAACGGG